UUUUUUUUUACCCGGAAGUGAAUCCAAAACAUACCGAGGGAAAUUUAUGAAAUUUAUCUUGUGGCCACUAAACACAGAUGAUUCCACUAUGCCUGUGUAUUUAAUAUAAAAUGGCCAGUUGGGUUAUCACAAAGAUUAUUGAAGGCAGGCAGCUUCUUACUCGAGGUGACCAGGAUUCAUCAAAUUAGUUCAUUGUCAAUAAUGAUAUUCCUUGUUCCUUUGAUGGUUCAUUCCACUACACAGCUGUUUCAUAUAACAUACAACAGCCAGGAAAUUGGCCUGUUUAUUUUAAGAUCCCAAGAAAAUGUAACAUAUUUUGGAUGUGCUUUGAGGAAUCAGGAAUGCAAGUGUUUCCUCUUGUUUAUGAAGCAACUCAGUUGGUUAAGGGGCAGACAACUUGUGAGCAUGGUACAUCACUACCUGUAUUGGUAUUCCAUUUUGACAAUGUUACUAGCUAGAAUAGAAAUAACAUCUUGCUGUGGUACAGUCUAUGGAGACUUUUACUAGGAUAUCAGAGAUCGAUUGAAUAUUCAACAAUGAUUACAGACCAUGAAAAGUUUGAAUCUGUCUUGCACUUUUGAAUUUAGAAGAAUCUGUGGAGGAGGUUGAAUGCUGAGACCUUUAAUAAUACAUGAUAUUGCUGACACAGUGUGUCAGUCAUGAAAGAAAGGCCAUAACACUGCACAGUUGGUCAACAAUGAUUUAAAUCCUGUCACAUUCUACCAGUGAAGAAAUAUCUUAUCACAAUAUUUUAAACUUUUGAAGAAGAUAACCCAGUAUUACCACUUUAUCAUGUCUGCAGAAACACAUGGAUUGUUAGUGUUAAAAGUGACAGUCCAGUUAACUUACUAAAAUCUACUCCCCCUUGCCAAACGAAUAUUAUUGACAUGGAAUGACACAAGCCUGACAAUGGUACCUGUAUGGACUCGUAAGAGAAUAGUAUUUGUCUGAAAAGUCAAAGGAUUCUGUUUGUCCCAAACCACUUCAACUGAAAACUGAAAUUGUGAUUGGCGAGGAUUUUUCUGAGAAUUGAAAAAAGGAAGUGAAUGUAAAAGAUAGAAAUUGUUGUUGAAUUCAAACGUUUUUAUACACAACACUUUAGCCUGUUUUGCUGUUCAUAUAGAUGUGUUUAGCUGUUAAGGUUAAACAUCAAGUAAAGGUUGUAGUUUCAGUUACCAACAUUAAAGUAUUGGCUGGAAAUAAAUAUCUACUUUUCAUCAGAGUUUGUAGCAGUGUAACCUUCAUCAAAAGUUAAGCUGUUGUGUUAAUAAAGUAUUU
Molecule: long non-coding RNA, 1278 nt
Organism: Mercenaria mercenaria
Lineage: Eukaryota; Metazoa; Mollusca; Bivalvia; Venerida; Veneridae
Exons: 4
Source: RefSeq, a predicted model, not a curated record